GCAGUGAGGAAUAUUGGACAAUGGAUGGAAAUCUGAUCCAGCCAUGCCGCGUGAAGGACGACGGUCCUAUGGAUUGUAAACUUCUUUUGUAUGGGAGCAAUAAGGUCUACGUGUAGAUCGAUGAGAGUACCAUACGAAUAAGCAUCGGCUAACUCCGUGCCAGCAGCCGCGGUAAUACGGAGGAUGCGAGCGUUAUCCGGAUUUAUUGGGUUUAAAGGGUGCGUAGGCGGUUGUAUAAGUCAGCGGUGAAAUUUUCCGGCUUAACCGGGAGACUGCCGUUGAUACUGUAUAGCUUGAAUACGGUUGCUGUGAGUGGAAUGUGUGGUGUAGCGGUGAAAUGCAUAGAUAUCACACAGAAUAUCGAUUGCGAAGGCAGCUCACAAAGCCGUUAUUGACGCUGAUGCACGAAAGUGUGGGGAUCAAACAGGAUUAGAUACCCUGGUAGUCCACACUGUAAACGAUGAUAACUAGCUGUCGGCGAUACAUAGUCG
RNAcentral lists this ribosomal RNA (491 nucleotides) under uncultured bacterium. RNAcentral's name for it is "bacterial SSU rRNA". It matches the Rfam family "Bacterial small subunit ribosomal RNA", at positions 351 to 839 of the family's 1533-position model. The record is from RNAcentral.